GGGCCAGACUCCUACGGGAGGCAGCAGUGGGGAAUCUUCCGCAAUGGGCGAAAGCCUGACGGAGCAACGCCGCGUGAUCGAAUGAAGGCCUUCGGGUUGUAAAGAUCUGUUGACAGGGACGAAUAAGCAAUGCGAAUAGUUUUGUGUAUGACGGUACCUGUUUAGAAAGCUCCGGCUAACUACGUGCCAGCAGCCGCGGUAAUACGUAGGGAGCAAGCGUUGUCCGGAAUUACUGGGUGUAAAGGGUGCGUAGGUGGCAUGGCAAGUCAGAAGUGAAGGCCCGGGGCUCAACCCCGCGGACUGCUUUUGAAACUGUCAGGCUGGAGUACAGGAGAGGUAAGCGGAAUUCCUAGUGUAGCGGUGAAAUGCGUAGAUAUUAGGAGGAACACCAGUGGCGAAGGCGGCUUACUGGACUGUAACUGACGUUGAGGCUCGAAAGCGUGGGGAGCAAACAGGAUUAGAUACCCGUGUAA
Molecule: ribosomal RNA, 473 nt
Filed under: uncultured bacterium
Lineage: Bacteria
Description: bacterial SSU rRNA
Rfam family: Bacterial small subunit ribosomal RNA
Source: RNAcentral